AUUGAACGCUGGCGGCAUGCCUUACACAUGCAAGUCGAACGAGAACGGAUUAUAGCUUGCUAUAAUUGUCAGCUAAGUGGCGCACGGGUGAGUAAUAUAUAGAUAACCUGCCCUCUAGAAAGGAAUAACAGUUGGAAACGACUGCUAAUGCCCUAUAUGCCUUUUAAUACAUAAGUAUGCAAGGGAAACGCUUUAGUGCUAGAGGAUGGGUCUGUAUGGUAUCAGCUUGUUGGUGAGGUAAUGGCUCACCAAGGCUAUGACGCCUAACUGGUUUGAGAGGAUGAUCAGUCACACUGGAACUGAGACACGGUCCAGACUCCUACGGGAGGCAGCAGUGGGGAAUAUUGCACAAUGGACGAAAGUCUGAUGCAGCAACGCCGCGUGGAGGAUGACACAUUUCGGUGCGUAAACUCCUUUUAUAUAGGAAGAUAAUGACGGUACUAUAUGAAUAAGCACCGGCU
Molecule: ribosomal RNA, 461 nt
Filed under: uncultured bacterium
Lineage: Bacteria
Description: bacterial SSU rRNA
Rfam family: Bacterial small subunit ribosomal RNA
Source: RNAcentral